UACGAGUGCCUCGAGCGUUAUCCGGAAUCAUUGGGCGUAAAGGGUGCGUAGGUGGCUUUGUUAGUCUCUCGUUAAAUUCUUCGGCUUAACCGGGGGCAUGCGAGGGAAACGGCAAGGCUUGAGGGUGCAAGGGGUCUCUGGAACUCUAGGUGUAGCGGUGAAAUGCGUUGAUAUCUAGGGGAACACCAAAAGCGAAGGCAAGAGACUGGGGCAUUCCUGACACUGAAGCACGAAAGCGUGGGUAGCGAAUGGG
This 253-nucleotide unclassified non-coding RNA is filed under the name uncultured Parcubacteria group bacterium. RNAcentral describes it as "contains 16S-23S intergenic spacer region". It matches the Rfam family "Bacterial small subunit ribosomal RNA", at positions 524 to 776 of the family's 1533-position model. The record is from RNAcentral.